CCGUUAAUGCGGGAAAUAAAAAAAUAGAGUCUGCCGACAUCCGUCAGACUCUACAGUACACACAGCAGUGCUUCCUAAGCUUAUUCCCGAAGAAUUCGUCCUUGUGGGUUAAUUUAAGUUAUAGCAACCUGGCAAAAUAAUGCCAGUGACAAUA
Molecule: unclassified non-coding RNA, 154 nt
Filed under: Enterobacter kobei
Lineage: Bacteria; Pseudomonadati; Pseudomonadota; Gammaproteobacteria; Enterobacterales; Enterobacteriaceae
Description: IS061 RNA
Source: RNAcentral